Molecule: ribosomal RNA, 467 nt
Filed under: uncultured bacterium
Lineage: Bacteria
Description: partial 16S ribosomal RNA
Rfam family: Bacterial small subunit ribosomal RNA
Source: RNAcentral
ACGCACGCUGGCGGCGUGCUUAACCCAUGCAAGUCGCACGGUGAAGCUCCAGCUUGCUGGAGUGGAUCAGUGGCGAACGGGUGAGUAACACGUGAGCAACCUGCCCCAGACUCUGGAAUAAGCGCUGGAAACGGCGUCUAAUACUGGAUACGAGAUCAAGCCGCAUGGUUAUGGUCUGGAAAGUUUUUCGGUUUGGGAUGGGCUCGCGGCCUAUCAGCUUGUUGGUGAGGUAAUGGCUCACCAAGGCGACGACGGGUAGCCGGCCUGAGAGGGCGACCGGCCACACUGGGACUGAGACACGGCCCAGACUCCUACGGGAGGCAGCAGUGGGGAAUAUUGCACAAUGGGCGAAAGCCUGAUGCAGCGACGCCGCGUGAGGGAUGACGGCCUUCGGGUUGUAAACCUCUUUCAGCAGGGAAGAAGCGAAAGUGACGGUACCUGCAGAAGAAGCACCGGCUAACUACGUG